This 325-nucleotide ribosomal RNA is filed under the name uncultured eukaryote. RNAcentral describes it as "partial 18S ribosomal RNA". It matches the Rfam family "Eukaryotic small subunit ribosomal RNA", at positions 1470 to 1796 of the family's 1831-position model. The record is from RNAcentral.
CCCUUAGAUGUUCUGGGCCGCACGCGCGCUACACUGAUGCAUUCAACGAGCCUAUCCUUGACCGACAGGUCCGGGUAAUCUUUGAAUCUGCAUCGUGACGGGGAUAGAUUAUUGCAAUUAUUAAUCUUCAACGAGGAAUGCCUAGUAGGCGCAAGUCAUCAGCUUGCGUCGAUUACGUCCCUGCCCUUUGUACACACCGCCCGUCGCUCCUACCGAUUGGGUGUGCUGGUGAAAUGUUCGGAUCGGCCGUUUGUCGCGGUUUCCGCGUCAUGUGGCUGAGAAGUUCAUUAAACCCUCCCACCUAGAGGAAGGAGAAGACGUAACA